GUCUAAAGCAAUUUGUAUUCUCUGCAUCCAGUUUAACGAUUUGUUGCUGCUUAGUGCGUUAUAAUAGAUCCAAUCGCUUAAUGGCCCAUUAACAGCAAACUCAUAAACAAGAUACCAAUGACCGUCAUCAAAACAAACACCUGCUAGGUGAAUGAGAUUAUGAUGGUGAAUAGUGUUAAGUAAACGAAUCUCGUUUGACACGUCACCAUGCAUUUUCUUGAUGGCAACAAGGUUUCCGUUGAUGGUACCUUGGUAAACAGACCCCUUAAUCAAACAAUCGGGACUAAAAUCUUGUGUGGCUGACUGAAGUUGUUCAAAUUUGUAUACUUUGAGGGAUUGCGCUAUGCUACUUAAACUCUCCAAGAAUUCCGAGUCUUCAUCAAUAUCCAACUUCUUAUCCCCUGGUUUUACAAUUGCUUCAAAGCUCUGAGAAGCAGAAGAAACCGUAGGUGGAGUCGUUUUCUUUUUCUUUGAAAAGAAAAGGUAGAAAAUGCACAACCCAAUAGCAAAUGUGAGAACAACCCCUCCAAGGACUCCUACAAGCAUAUAUACCCAUUUAUGAUCAUUGGCGGAAGUGGGGGGUGGUGGCGACAGUGGUGAUGGUGGUGGCGAUGUUGUUGGAGGCGGUGGCGGUGCUAUGGUUUGAGAUUUAUUAGGUGGAUUAGAAAGUGGAACUAAAAGGGUGGUGAACGGGUAGAUAUUAAAAUCGGUUUCUGAUAACUCAUUGGCUUGAAGAGUCAGCCCAGUAUCAACUCCAAAUAUAGCACUUAUAGCCGAAACCGUUUGUCCCCAAGUGAUCAAGUAAGACAGCAAAUAGUUAAUACCAGCAGCAGCUUGCUUUUCGGUUGGACAAGCACAUCUUAAUGGCACGGCCUCCGAAAGUGUCGUUGGCGAUCAAGAGAGGCGUGUCUCCGGACUGGAUAACAUAAGUCGUGUUCGCUUGAUAGAACUGACCCAAACACGAACACCGGGUGGGCACAAGCACCGUCUCACCAGUUCCAAAAGUGUAGUUUUCUGAGACCAAGUUGAGUUGUGAAAGCUGAGUAGCGUUUGCAUUCAAUAAACCGGCGAUGGAAACAACCGUGUUAUAAGGGGGUUUGGAUCGGAAGGUGAGAUAAGCUUGGCAGGUAUCGUUAACACCGUUACAGGCGUAACCGAAAACAGAAGUUGAAGCAUUUGUGACAGCACAGUUUGUACUCAACUUCCUGAUGUAUGGUUGUUGGGCCUGAAUCAAAAUCGGCGGACAAAUUAAGAGGAUAGCGCAAACGAAGAAAAAGCGCAGGGCCAGCAUGUUUGAGAUGUUAGCAGAAGAUCGGAAUCUGAAGUUGAUUGAAUGGAAAGAAGAGGAUGGAGUUGACCAAGUUGGAUGAAGGAAGCGUAGGGAUGAUCAAAGAUAAUAUUGUUUGGAGUAGUUAAUUAGUAGGCAUGAUGAACGAAGGUUUGAAUUGAAAUGUUCAUGUGGGAAUCAAAUGAUUUGAUGAAUUGAUUUAAGUGAACAAGAUCAUUGAAUUAGUGGUGAGGAUGUCGACGUUUGAAUAAUUUGUUUUUGGGUCAACGAGGAGAGAAAGUGUCUUGGGUUAGGUUGAUAGUAACAUAUGGUGGUAAAGAAAUUUGCUAUUAAAAAAAAUAACAUA
RNAcentral lists this long non-coding RNA (1634 nucleotides) under Helianthus annuus (common sunflower). RNAcentral's name for it is "hypothetical non coding rna". Lineage: Eukaryota; Viridiplantae; Streptophyta; Magnoliopsida; Asterales; Asteraceae. The record is from RNAcentral.